GAUGAAGAACGCAGCGAAAUGCGAUAAGUAAUGUGAAUUGCAGAAUUCAGUGAAUCAUCGAAUCUUUGAACGCACAUUGCGCCCGCCAGUAUUCUGGCGGGCAUGCCUGUUCGAGCGUCAUUUCAACCCUCAAGACCCCUUCGGGGGACUUGGUGUUGGGGACCGGCACAGGGGCCUGCCUGCUUGUCUUGCAGCGCCCUCGCCGCCCCCGAAAUGAAUUGGCGGCCUCGUCGCGGCCUCCCCUGUGUAGUAGCACAACCUCGCAACGGGAACGUGACGGCGGCCACUGCCGUAAAACAACCCCAAUUUUAUUAGAGUUGACCUCGAAUCAGGUAGGAAUACCCGCUGAACUUAAGCAUAUCAAUAAGCGGAGGA
Molecule: unclassified non-coding RNA, 375 nt
Filed under: soil metagenome
Description: partial contains 5.8S ribosomal RNA, internal transcribed spacer 2, and large subunit ribosomal RNA
Rfam family: 5.8S ribosomal RNA (bases 1-120)
Source: RNAcentral